Molecule: non-coding RNA, 100 nt
Filed under: Lachnospiraceae bacterium 2_1_46FAA
Lineage: Bacteria; Bacillati; Bacillota; Clostridia; Lachnospirales; Lachnospiraceae
Also listed under: 1 other name
Description: Glycine riboswitch aptamer
Rfam family: Glycine riboswitch aptamer
About the family: This family represents the bacterial glycine riboswitch.
Source: Rfam by way of RNAcentral
AGAUGUUUUUUGUGAGAGAGUCAAAUGACCGCCGAAGAUGCAAGCCUGACAAUCGUCAGUGUUGGGUGAAACUUUCAGGCAAAAGGAGCAAAAGACGGAC